This 715-nucleotide ribosomal RNA is filed under the name Rhodococcus sp. VP17-3. RNAcentral's name for it is "bacterial SSU rRNA". It matches the Rfam family "Bacterial small subunit ribosomal RNA", at positions 22 to 754 of the family's 1533-position model. The record is from RNAcentral. Lineage: Bacteria; Bacillati; Actinomycetota; Actinomycetes; Mycobacteriales; Nocardiaceae.
GCUCAGGACGAACGCUGGCGGCGUGCUUAACACAUGCAAGUCGAGCGGUAAGGCCUUUCGGGGUACACGAGCGGCGAACGGGUGAGUAACACGUGGGUGAUCUGCCCUGCACUCUGGGAUAAGCCCGGGAAACUGGGUCUAAUACCGGAUAUGACUGUCCCAUGCAUGUGGGGUGGUGGAAAGAUUUAUCGGUGCAGGAUGGGCCCGCGGCCUAUCAGCUUGUUGGUGGGGUAAUGGCCUACCAAGGCGACGACGGGUAGCCGACCUGAGAGGGUGACCGGCCACACUGGGACUGAGACACGGCCCAGACUCCUACGGGAGGCAGCAGUGGGGAAUAUUGCACAAUGGGCGGAAGCCUGAUGCAGCGACGCCGCGUGAGGGAUGAAGGCCUUCGGGUUGUAAACCUCUUUCAGCAGGGACGAAGCGUGAGUGACGGUACCUGCAGAAGAAGCACCGGCUAACUACGUGCCAGCAGCCGCGGUAAUACGUAGGGUGCGAGCGUUGUCCGGAAUUACUGGGCGUAAAGAGUUCGUAGGCGGUUUGUCGCGUCGUUUGUGAAAACCCGGGGCUCAACUUCGGGCUUGCAGGCGAUACGGGCAGACUUGAGUGUUUCAGGGGAGACUGGAAUUCCUGGUGUAGCGGUGAAAUGCGCAGAUAUCAGGAGGAACACCGGUGGCGAAGGCGGGUCUCUGGGAAACAACUGACGCUGAGGAAC